CCUACGGGUGGCAGCAGUGAGGAAUAUUGGUCAAUGGCCGGAAGGCUGAACCAGCCAAGUCGCGUGAGGGAAGACGGCCCUACGGGUUGUAAACCUCUUUUGUCAGGGAGCAAGGUGCAGGUCGGGACCUGCUUUGAGAGUAGCUUACGAAAAGGCAUCGGCUAACUCCGUGCCAGCAGCCGCGGUAAUACGGAGGAUGCGUGGGUGAUCCGGAUUUAUGGGGUUGAAGGGGGGCGCAGGCGGAGGCACCAGUCAGCGGUAAAGUCGCGGGGCUCAACCCCGCUCCGCCGUUGAAACUGUGUCUCUUGAGUGCGCGAAGGGUAGGCGGAAUGCGUGGUGUAGCGGUGAAAUGCAUAGAUAUCACGAAGAACUCCGAUCGCGAAGGCAGACUACUGGCGCGCAACUGACGGUCAUGCACGAAAGCGUGGGUAUCGAACAGGAUUAGAUACCCUAGUAGUC
This 459-nucleotide ribosomal RNA is filed under the name uncultured bacterium. Its description in RNAcentral is "partial 16S ribosomal RNA". It matches the Rfam family "Bacterial small subunit ribosomal RNA", at positions 338 to 795 of the family's 1533-position model. The record is from RNAcentral.